ACAGCUAGUUGCCUAGUUCAUAUC
Molecule: non-coding RNA, 24 nt
Filed under: Arabidopsis thaliana (thale cress)
Lineage: Eukaryota; Viridiplantae; Streptophyta; Magnoliopsida; Brassicales; Brassicaceae
Source: RNAcentral